UACAGAGGUCCCAAGCGUUGUUCGGAUUCACUGGGCGUAAAGGGUGCGUAGGUGGCCAGGUAAGUUCGGUGUGAAAGCUCGGAGCUUAACUCCGAAAUGGCAUUGAAUACUAUCUGGCUAGAGGGUCGGAGGGGAGACUGGAAUUCUCGGUGUAGCAGUGAAAUGCGUAGAUAUCGAGAGGAACACCAGUGGCGAAGGCGAGUCUCUGGACGACUCCUGACACUGAGGCACGAAAGCCAGGGGCAGCAAACAGG
This 254-nucleotide ribosomal RNA is filed under the name uncultured bacterium. RNAcentral describes it as "partial 16S ribosomal RNA". It matches the Rfam family "Bacterial small subunit ribosomal RNA", at positions 524 to 776 of the family's 1533-position model. The record is from RNAcentral.